This 207-nucleotide ribosomal RNA is filed under the name uncultured bacterium. RNAcentral's name for it is "partial 16S ribosomal RNA". It matches the Rfam family "Bacterial small subunit ribosomal RNA", at positions 568 to 774 of the family's 1533-position model. The record is from RNAcentral.
CGCGUAGGCGGAUUAGUCAGUUGGGGGUGAAAGCCCGGGGCUCAACUCCGGAAUUGCCUUCAAUACUGCUAGUCUUGAGUCCGAGAGAGGGUGGUGGAAUUCCCAGUGUAGAGGUGAAAUUCGUAGAUAUUGGGAAGAACACCAGUGGCGAAGGCGGCCACCUGGCUCGGUACUGACGCUGAGGUGCGAAAGCGUGGGGAGCAAACA